Long non-coding RNA from Zingiber officinale, 1630 nucleotides. RefSeq lists it as uncharacterized. The record is from RefSeq and is a predicted model, not a curated record. The transcript has 2 exons. NCBI's taxonomy places the organism in Eukaryota, Viridiplantae, Streptophyta, Magnoliopsida, Zingiberales, Zingiberaceae.
CGAAGUAUGACUAUGUAAGAUCACUUUGCUGACCUUUUCUUCCACACAUCUGAAGUGGACAGAUACACAAAACUUGUUGUUCUCCACCUUGGCACCAGGAAUGGGCUUGGUCUUCUCCAGUAACUUUUUGUGAACCUGAUUAAAGGGAAAUGAUUCAGUGUGUAUUAAUUAGUAUCAUGAAAAGUUUCAAGGAAAAAAAAAAAGUGGAAAUUGAAGAACCAACCUCAUUCAUUGCAGGAAAGGCUUUAUUUGGAGGGAAAAGUACUACCUUGGUGUAUUUGGUUCCUUUGGGAACUUUGAUGUCCAUGCCAUGGCUUCCAGCGUAGAAUAACUCGGUUAAUUUUACAAAAUCAUAUACCUGAAAUUGAUGCAUGCAUUAGAAUUUAGUAGUUGAGUAGCAGAACAAGCAGGCGAAGUAUCAAGAAAUUGCUGGCUACUUUGCUCCUGCAGCGCCCGCUCACAAUUGCUGUCGGGAAGCACCGUGCGACCUCCUUCACCGCCGCUCUCAUCUGAGCACAGAGAUUGCAAACAGGCGAUCAAAAUCCCAUCUUUUGCCUCUUUUUUUUUUCUUUCUUUCUAGCAUUGAUUUCAUGAAUGAAUGCAGGGGAAGCUCACCGCUUCGGACAUGAAGGCGGAGUCGGGAUCGUCGACGAUGGGGGAGAGAGUCCCGUCGUAGUCCAAGAACAUCACGAUUUGUUUCCCCUUCGUGGCGUUCAUGAUCUGCUCAAACUUGCUCAAAGCCGAGGGAUGCUGAAUCUGCUCCAAGCAAAUGCAAUUACGCGUCAGAACUGGAAAGAUUCGAGCUUUUUGAUCGUUUGAGAUAACGGCGACUUACUAUCCACGCGGAGUAUUCGGGGAUCUCGAGCUCGUCGGCGGGCGCUGCAGCCAGGGCGGCGGCCGCCUUCGCGUGGGUCGGAGAGGAAGCCUUCAUCGACUCCACCCACCCGUUAGCCCGCCCUCCGCUGAGCUCGAUGGAAGAAUAAUGCUUCUUCCUGAUCGACGCGCCGCCGCCGCCGCUGCGCGGCGGCGGGUACGGCACCGCGGCCGGCGAGUUCGCCGGCGUUGCGAUCCCCGGCAUCGCCUCAGGCACCAACAUGUUCUGGCUCGUCAUUUUAACAGAAACCGGGGCGAAAAUGUCAGAGAAGAAGAGCAAAGAUCGGAUUUCUUUUCCUCGCCCCGGUCGACCAAAAAUAGGAGCUCCGAGGAUUCCUCGACUCGGUAAAGCGGUGCGGGUGGUUGAGAUCGGGAGUUAGCGAUGGAGGAGGUGUCGCGGGGGCGGUGGAUUUAUGGGUGGCGGAGGGAGCAAGAGGACAAGGAAGGGUGGGUCCCGCCCGAGCUGGAAGCCUGGAACGGAGUAGAGCUCGGGCGGGCCCCUCUCCGGUCCAAACCCGUCGACGUGGCGGCGGACGCAGCGCACGAGCGCGCUGUGCUCACGUGUUGACGGUCGGAGGCAAUAAAUCCAAGAAGCCUCUAAUAAUUAAUUAUUAAUACGCAUCCAAAUAAUUAAUGAAUCAUUAACAUUUAACCCUGCGUUUAGGGUAUCUAUUAAUUAAAUAGCUCUUCUUUUUUUAUUCUUCCUUCAAAUCUUCCAAGACAGUUUUAGUUUAUCAACAAAGAACCACAUUACCAA